GAUCAUGGCUCAGGAUGAACGCUAGCUACAGGCUUAACACAUGCAAGUCGAGGGGCAGCAUGGUCUUAGCUUGCUAAGGCCGAUGGCGACCGGCGCACGGGUGAGUAACACGUAUCCAACCUGCCGUCUACUCUUGGACAGCCUUCUGAAGGGAAGGUUAAUACAAGAUGGCAUCAUGAGUCCACAUGUUCACAUGAUUAAAGGUAUUCCGGUAGACGAUGGGGA
Molecule: ribosomal RNA, 225 nt
Filed under: uncultured bacterium
Lineage: Bacteria
Description: partial 16S ribosomal RNA
Rfam family: Bacterial small subunit ribosomal RNA
Source: RNAcentral